GACGAACGCUGGCGGCGUGCUUAACACAUGCAAGUCGAGCGGUAAGGCCCUUUCGGGGGUACACGAGCGGCGAACGGGUGAGUAACACGUGGGUGACCUGCCCUUAGCUCUGGGAUAAGCCUGGGAAACUGGGUCUAAUACCGGAUAUGACUCCAUAACGCAUGUUGUGGGGUGGAAAGCCUUGUGCGGCUAGGGAUGGGCCCGCGGCCUAUCAGCUUGUUGGUGGGGUGAUGGCCACCAAGGCGACGAC
RNAcentral lists this ribosomal RNA (250 nucleotides) under uncultured bacterium. Its description in RNAcentral is "partial 16S ribosomal RNA". It matches the Rfam family "Bacterial small subunit ribosomal RNA", at positions 28 to 280 of the family's 1533-position model. The record is from RNAcentral.